CGAUCCUACAGUGGAACUGUUCUAGCAGGGAACAGAACACACACCUGCGUUUAAACCCUUGGUCAUAACUUCUGGAGCGAGUUCGAGCAGUUUCACACCUGCACAGAGGACCAGAGGGUGUGGGGAAACCCUGCUGUACUGCCUCUUAAAAGUCCUCUGUUCUCAGAGCACGGACGCACGUCUCGUAACCUGCGUCCUCGGACUCCCAGGAGCUGUUCGCAGUCUUGAGUGCUGAUCUGUGAUGCUAUUCCACAUCACAUUCAGCGCCCCGGUGGGUCGAGUCAAAGGCCUACGCUCACGGUUCCGGCUGGUCGUACGGUAUCUAGGGAGAUCCGUGCUGCAAGUGGGACCUUCAUUACUGAUGUGUAAUUCUGCUGUUAGAUGUGAUCAUUCCUGCUCCCGCCCCGAACACCAAGCCCUGUAGGUGAGAAACUCCGGCGUGUGAACAUGAACUCUGCCUGCGGUCGCCUGCUCAGAUCGGAAAAACACAGACUGCUCGGUCGGCGUCGCUGUCUGUGAAACCACAACACCGCGUUAGGAACCAAAAACCAACUCACAUAUGCGUCUGGCUUUGGACACGGGCCAGCUCACUUUACUGCUGCGCCUUACUCACACAAGCAGCCGCUUGAAAGCAAU
Electrophorus electricus (electric eel) is the source of this 636-nucleotide long non-coding RNA. RefSeq lists it as uncharacterized. The record is from RefSeq and is a predicted model, not a curated record. NCBI's taxonomy places the organism in Eukaryota, Metazoa, Chordata, Actinopteri, Gymnotiformes, Gymnotidae.